UGUCCCCUAAAUAGGGACSGGAAUGAACGGCUAAAUGAGGACAAAACUGUCUCUUACGGACUAGCCAAUGAAAUUGAUCCUUCAGUACAAAAGCUGGAAUUAACCCAUAAGACGAGAAGACCCUGUGGAGCUUCAAAACCAAAAUCACCUAACAUGACUUCCUGGAUUUUUAGUUGGGGCGACUUUGGAGCAAAAAAAACCCUCCAAAACAUGAAUCCAUUUAUUAAGACUAACACACCAAAAAUAAUAUUAUAGACCCAGCAGUACCUAUCUGCUAUCUGACCAAUGAACCAAGUUACCCCAGGGAUAACAGCGCCAUCCUCUUCUAGA
RNAcentral lists this ribosomal RNA (330 nucleotides) under Podarcis levendis. Its description in RNAcentral is "partial large subunit ribosomal RNA". It matches the Rfam family "Archaeal large subunit ribosomal RNA", at positions 2050 to 2568 of the family's 2987-position model. Lineage: Eukaryota; Metazoa; Chordata; Lepidosauria; Squamata; Lacertidae. The record is from RNAcentral.